GCGGGUAUGGCGGAACUGGCAGACGCACUAGAUUUAGGAUCUAGCGCUUCACGGCGUGGGGGUUCGACUCCCUUUACCCGCA
This 82-nucleotide transfer RNA is filed under the name Jeotgalicoccus halotolerans. Its description in RNAcentral is "tRNA-Leu". It matches the Rfam family "tRNA". Rfam says of the family: Transfer RNA (tRNA) molecules are approximately 80 nucleotides in length. Their secondary structure includes four short double-helical elements and three loops (D, anti-codon, and T loops). Lineage: Bacteria; Bacillati; Bacillota; Bacilli; Caryophanales; Staphylococcaceae. The record is from RNAcentral.